CAAUUCUGGUUGAUCCUGCCAGAGGGCACCGCUAUUGGGAUACGCUUAAGCCAUGCGAGUCGAGAGGUGCAAGACCUCGGCUGACGGCUCAGUAACACGCGGAUAAUCUGCCCUCGAGCGGGGGAUAAUCUCGGGAAACUGAGAAUAAUACCCCAUAGGCCCGGGAAGCUGGAAUGCUCCCAGGCUGAAAUUUCCGGAGCUCGAGGAUGAGUCUGCGGCCUAUCAGGCUGUAGUGGGUGUAACGGACCCACUAACCUUCGACGGGUACGGGCCUUGAGAGAGGUUGCCCGGAGAUGGAUUCUGAGACACGAAUCCAGGUCCUACGGGGCGCAGCAGGCGCGAAAACUUCGCAAUGUGGGAAACCACGACGAGGGAAUCCCAAGUGCCAACGAUUUUUCGUUGGCUGUUGCCCUGUCUAAAAAACAGGGAGAGUAAGGGCUGGGUAAGACGGGUGCCAGCCGCCGCGGUAAUACCCGCGGCCCGAGUGGUGCUCGUUAUUAUUGGGUUUAAAACGUCCGUAGCCGGGCCGGUAAAUUCUUGGGUAAAUCGACUGGCCCAACCAGUCGAAUUCCGGGGAGACUGCCGGCCUUGGGACCGGGGGAGGUCGGAGGUACUUCCAGGGUAGGGGUGAAAUCCUGUAAUCCUGGGAGGACCACCAGUGGCGAAGGCGUCCGACCAGAACGGCUCCGACGGUAAGGGACGAAGCCCUGGGGCGCAAACGGGAUUAGAUACCCCGGUAGUCCAGGGUGUAAACGCUGCAGGCUUGGUGUCGGGGGUCCUAUGAGGGCGCUCGGUGCCGGAGUGAAAAUGUUAAGCCUGCUACCUGGGGAGUACGGUCGCAAGACUGAAACUUAAAGGAAUUGGCGGGGGAGCACCGCAACGGGUGGAGCGUGCGGUUUAAUUGGAUUCAACGCCGUAAAACUCACCGGGGGCGACGGUUAUAUGAAGGCCAAGCUGAUGACUUUGCCCAAUUUUCCGAGAGGUGGUGCAUGGCCGUCGUCAGUUCGUACCGUAAGGCGUUCUGUUAAGUCAGAUAACGAACAAGACCCCUACCGCCAAUUGCCACGCUGUCCUCCGGGACAGCAGCACAUUGUUGGGACCGCUGGUGCUAAACCAGAGGAAGGAGGGGGCAACGAUAGGUCAGUAUGCCCCGAAUCCCCCGGGCUACACGCGCGCUACAAAGGCCAGGACAAUGGGCUCCUACCCCGAGAGGGGAAGGCAAUCCCGAAACCUGGUCAUAGUUCGGAUUGAGGGCUGUAACUCGCCCUCAUGAAGCUGGAAUCCGUAGUAAUCGCGGAUCAACAUUCCGCGGUGAAUAUGCCCCUGCUCCUUGCACACACCGCCCGUCAAACCAUCUGAGUUGGGUCUGAGUGAGGGUGUCCUUCCUGGGGUGCUCGAACUUAGGUUCAGCAAGGAGGGUUAAGUCGUAACAAGGUAUCCGUAGGGGAACCUGCGGAUGGAUCACCUCCUA
This 1471-nucleotide ribosomal RNA is filed under the name Methanobacteriota archaeon. RNAcentral describes it as "bacterial SSU rRNA". It matches the Rfam family "Archaeal small subunit ribosomal RNA". Lineage: Archaea; Methanobacteriati; Methanobacteriota. The record is from RNAcentral.